UGAAUCCCUUGGCUUAACCAGAGAAGGGCAUUUGAAACUGCCUGGCUUGAGUACGGGAGGGGGAAGCGGAAUUCCCGGUGUAGAGGUGAAAUUCGUAGAUAUCGGGAGGAACACCGGUGGCGAAGGCGGCUUUCUGGACCGAUACUGACGCUGAGACGCGAAAGCGUGGGGAGCAAACAGGAUUAGAUACCCUGGUAGUCCACGCUGUAAACGUUGGGCACUAGGUGUUGUGGGUAUUGACCCCUGCAGUGCCAAGGGCGAAUUCCACAGUGGA
RNAcentral lists this ribosomal RNA (274 nucleotides) under uncultured bacterium. Its description in RNAcentral is "partial 16S ribosomal RNA". It matches the Rfam family "Bacterial small subunit ribosomal RNA", at positions 596 to 868 of the family's 1533-position model. The record is from RNAcentral.